GGCCGCGAAAACGGGCUAAGUCCAAGCGCGUGGAAAGACACCGAGGCUGCUACGUAGGUCUCGGUUGAAGGGCACGGUGGAACGGAGGGAAAACGGGAGGAGACGCAAGGCAACGGGCGGCAGGGCUGUUCGGCCUUGCGUUUCGGGUGAAAACGAGGGGUUCGCCAUGGCGAACGGGCCAAAAACGGAUUUUCGGCCACGGCCGCGAAAACGGGCACGUGGAAGGGCACGGGACCCUCCCGUGGUCCCCCCGCGUGAGACGUGGAAGUUCGGGUGCACCCGUGAGGGAAAACGGGUCACGCUAGCGAAACCCCUGAUUCUGAGCAAAAACGCUGUGUCCAGCCAUCUUAGAUGGGUUUCGUGGGGUACUGGGAAAAUGCCCUGGUUUUCUGAAGGCAGAACUCCCCGAAGUCCUGGGAGGGGGUAUGCCCCUCAGGUAUAGUAGGGGGUAGGGAACUCGUGCAGCCGAAACCCGGGCGAAACGCUGCUGAAACCAUAGCGUUUCCAGCGUCUCCUCCAGGUCUCCUCGGCCGAGCCCCGCACCCCCUCGCGGCCUAACCGUGGCCGGUCGGCACCCUACCGCGGCCCAGCUCCGGCUGGCGCUGUUGGCUGCCUGGCCGGCCGUGGUUCGGCCGUGACGCAGCCACGACCGGCUAUGGCUGGCUACCGCCGGCCAGACGCCCUGGACGAGUGGCUGCACCGUGGGAUGGCCCGUUGCUCGAUGCGUUUUCCGUUUCUCCCGCGCUCGGUGGACCUUCGGUCGCCGUCCUCGCAAGCAGACCCGCCGCGCCCAGCGCGGAGGGAUGCUUUGGAUGGCUCGAUCGUAGCGGCUACGCUGGCGCAUGAGUUGUCUUGGACCCGUGACUGCUUGGAGGACCCCCGCUGCCGUGCGGCCGACUCCCGGCGCCCGUGUCCCAUCACUCGUGCGGGCAUCCUGUGCCUGCUGCGUUGAGAAGUGCUUGCGUGCUGCUACCCGUCCCACGGGAAGCCGUGCUCGAUACACGUUGCCUUCGUCGAGCUCACCCCCCGGGGUGCGGCUCGUCGGCUCGAGAGCGCCCGCGGCGUUUGCCUCGUGCCGCCGUCGGCCUAUGGCCGGCGGCACCGAGGACACCUCGCUGGCGCUUUUGGUCUCGGAUGUGGCUCACGCUGAAGGCCGGAGACACGUUGGCGUCACGCGCCCAAGAAUCGGUCCGCCCGAACGAACGACGUCCAACCCGGCACGACGCCUCCGCGCGGAGGCCGGCGCUGGCCCGUCUGCGAGGACGUGC
This 1268-nucleotide unclassified non-coding RNA is filed under the name Zea mays. RNAcentral's name for it is "partial ribosomal RNA intergenic spacer". Lineage: Eukaryota; Viridiplantae; Streptophyta; Magnoliopsida; Poales; Poaceae. The record is from RNAcentral.